RNAcentral lists this non-coding RNA (29 nucleotides) under Mus musculus (house mouse). The record is from RNAcentral. Lineage: Eukaryota; Metazoa; Chordata; Mammalia; Rodentia; Muridae.
UAAGAAGUUCAGAGACAGUGGCUGGAAAC